CCCGUCUCUAUGGCGGCCCCAACGGCCGUCCAGGACGUGGAGCGAAAUGAGCUCGGUCGCUGACGGCGGCGGUAGCGCUGCGGUGGCGGCGCGGUCGGACAAGGGCAGUGCCGGGGAGGACGGUUUCGUCCCGUCGGCGCUGGGGACCCGCGAGCAUUGGGAUGCUGUCUAUGAGAGAGAACUGCAAACUUUCCGAGAAUAUGGAGAUACAGGUGAAAUCUGGUUUGGAGAAGAGAGUAUGAAUCGACUAAUAAGGUGGAUGCAGAAACACAAGAUUCCACUGGAUGCUUCAGUGCUUGAUAUUGGAACUGGAAAUGGUGUUUUCCUGGUUGAACUUGUUGGCUUUGUCACCCAGUUUGCUUAUGAUGUGUGCUGCGGCCUGGAUUUCUUUGGCUUAUCCUAUUUGGUGUUCACUGAACUUUUUGCAUCUGCAAAAUUUGGUUUCUCUAAUAUUACUGGAAUUGAUUACUCUCCUUCUGCAAUUCAGCUUUCUGGAAGUAUUAUAGAAAAAGAAGGUUUAUCUAACAUUAAGUUAAAGGUAGAAGACUUUUUGAAUCUCUCCACACAGCUGUCUGGAUUUCAUAUUUGUAUUGACAAAGGGACUUUUGAUGCCAUAAGCCUUAAUCCUGACAAUGCAAUUGAGAAGAGGAAGCAAUAUGUGAAAUCUCUCUCCAGGGUGUUGAAAGUAAAAGGCUUUUUUCUAAUAACGUCAUGUAAUUGGACCAAGGAAGAGUUGCUAAAUGAAUUCGGUGAAGGUUGGAGUACAGUGGCAGGAUUUUGGCUCACUGCAGCCUUGACUUCCUGGGCUCAAGCGAUCCUUUCCACUUCAGCCUCCUGAGUAGGUGGAACUACAGGCACACAUCAUCAUGCCUGGAUAAUUUUUAUAUUUUUAGCAGAGACGGGGUUUUGCCAUGUUGUCCAGGCUGGUCUGGAACUCCUGGUCUCAAGUGAUUUUCCCACCUGGCCUCCCAAAGUGCUGGGAUUAUACCAUGCCAGGCCCUCGUUGGCAUUUUAGAUUUGAACUUUUCGAAGAGCUGCCAACACCCAAGUUCAGCUUUGGAGGCAGAUCUGGAAACAGUGUAGCAGCAUUGGUUUUCCAAAAAAUGUGAGACUUUUUCUUGGACAAAUUCAGGUAGCUACACAGAAUCUACACAGCAAAGUUAACCUGACACAGAAAAUCCUUGUGCAAAUAAAUGCUUAGUAAGUACACAGGAUGCACAUGUUGAAUAGAGUAGACUGGAUUGGUGAAAGAAAAUAAUAAUAAUGAGCAUCUAAGUGGUUGGGUUUUAGAGAUCAAUCAAGAAUAAUUUUAAUUUUCUUUUGUAUUUGAAAUGUAAAUAGUUUUCUUUUUGAUUAAAAAAAUUUCCUGUAACUGCUAAACAGUUAAAAACUUUAAAGUAGUAAAUGAGUUUAUAGAAAGCAUGUAUUCUUGAUUUUUGUGCCUUGGUAAAGUUGAUAACUAUUUAUGAAUAUUUGACCAAAUUAUUCCAGCAUCAGAAUAAUAAGCAAAAUAACUUUGUUAGUGUUUUGUUAGACUGUUUAUGAAAUAUAACAAGAAAUACUAUUUUGUGUUGGAUGGUGGUUAUUUUUAAACUUAAUUAAUACCUGUGAAAAGGCCUCUUACCUUUAUGUAUAUAAUUAAACAAAAUCAGAGAAAUGUAUCAGUUGCUCAAGUUAUCAAGCCUGCAUUUUGCAGCUAUGGUCUUCUACACACUAUAAGGGUAGUAGAAGUAAAGAGAACUAAGGAAUAUUAUUAUUUGCUAGUGCUAUGUUAAGUUGUCUUAUUAAGUAAUUGAAUCCUUUCAAUAUCUUCUUGAGGUAUGUAUUGCUUGUUCUUAUUUCUACUUAUAAGGAAAAUGAAGCUGAGAGAACUGAAGUCACUUUUAUGAGGUUCAAUAGUACAGGAUGGAGCCAGGAUUUUUAUCUGGGUCUGUCUGACUUUAAAACACAUACUCUUCUCCUAGCAUACUCUGCCUCACAGGUACUAAGUCUCUGCCUUUGUAGCAUUUACAGUACAGCUGGAGACCUAUGAUGAUUACAUAUAAAGUUCAGUUAGAAAAGAUGGGUAGUUAUUUUAUUAGUGUUCAUCUGUGGAGUAUCAGAAUAGCAGUCAGCCAACUCUGUCUCAUAUCAUCCUUCAUUACUUUUCCCCAUCUCCCUACUCAAAGACUUGCCUCUAUUAAGAAUUUUGUCAUUCUUCUGUGAAAGGGUAGUGUAAGUUAUAUAAGCCCUCAGUGAUACAUGCACAAAGAUGUUCUAGUUAGGGGCUAAUUUAGCAAGAGAAACAGUUUAUUAAUGUUUUUGAAAAGAUAAGUCAUAUUCAUACUUAAUACCAUUUUGUAUUUGUAAUAUUUUAAUAUUGGAGCCAAAUACAAAUUUUUGCAUAAUUUUUUGAUGAUUUUCAGCUUUGUGGGCCUAUUGGGUUACAUAACUGACUUUUUGUUUAUUUGGCAAAUGUUACUCCUGUAUUGAGUAAGUCUAACAUUACGUCCCUUUUCUUUUUGGGGAGGGGUAGACGAAGGAGUGAGUUUUUCAUUUAGAUCAACAUUGAUCAACUAUUAAGACAAGAUAGUUGAAGAUAUGUAUGUGGACUUUCAACAAAAAUAACAUUUUUUGAAAAGCUUUUAUUUUCAACAUGUAAAAAGUGAGAAAUUACUUCAAAAUAUAUGCAAUUUAAAUUUUUUACAAAAUUGUGUUGAUUUUACAAGACAGGAGAUCUUAAACUGUAGAAAAUUUUAUGGUUUUUGAGAUCGGGUCUUUGUUUUUUUUUCCACAUUAAUAUUCUUUGAUUUCAAAUAUAACAUAGAUAAGUACUCUUAGAAUUUUGAGUUAAGUGUAUGCUAUUUUAAUGUGCUAAUCCUACAAACUAGGCUUUCUGUGUGACUAGACUGAGAUGUUGAGUUUGAUUCACAAAAAGCUUGGAAUGGUUCUUUGUUGAAAAGCUUUUCGAGUCACUAUUUGGGGCAUGUUUGUGCCAUUUGCAAAGGUGAAGGAAUUUUUUUUUUUUUUUUUUUUUUUUUAACCAUAGAGCCUUUGAUAAGGUUAGGAAAAGAAAGUUGUCAUCUCUUCUUAUUACUCUAAUCCUGCUGGAAGCUAACUUCUUAGGGACUAAAACCAGAACAAAUGGAAGGUCCAAAAAUGCUAAUAAGAAAUUAGUAUUUUCACAUAAUACCAAACUGUAAAAACCAGGCCAGCAAAUGUCCCCCACAUUCCUGAAACAAACCAUAAAUACAUUAUUUAACUUAGUAUUGUUAAAUUGUAUAAAUAUGUGGGUAACUGUGACAGAAAUUAUGCACUUAUAAAAAGGAGCAGUAAGUUACAUAGUGAAUGCUGUUUUCUGUGGAUAAGAAGUUGGAAUUGUAAUUUCAUUUAAUCGAAAGACGCUUAUUUUGAGGAAACUUGUUUGAAAUGCAAACGCGAUUUCUCUGUGGAGCCUGCACGGAAUUGCUGCUUUUCACUAUGAUUAUUGCUGCAUAACAGGCCACUUCUGUGUGUAGGAAGUACGUGUGCAAGUCCAAAGGGAAUUGAGGCCUGAAUGGGUGGGUUACACCAAUUAGCAAAUACAAAGUUUUCAGUACAUUUUGUUUUAAGCCAGGUGCACAAGUUAAAGUUGCUUUUUGGGGCUGGCAUUUAUGUAUGUGAGAAUCAAACCUGAUAUCACUCUUGGCAGCCUGACUAAAGCCAUUUAAAAAUAAGUA
Molecule: RNA transcript, 3698 nt
Organism: Nomascus leucogenys (northern white-cheeked gibbon)
Lineage: Eukaryota; Metazoa; Chordata; Mammalia; Primates; Hylobatidae
Gene: EEF1AKMT2
Gene name: EEF1A lysine methyltransferase 2
Exons: 9
Source: RefSeq, a predicted model, not a curated record